GNCUUAGAGUUUGAUCAUGGCUCAGGACGAACGCUGGCGGCGUGCUUAACACAUGCAAGUCGAACGGAGCACCCUUGACUGAGGCUUCGGCCAAAUGAUAGGAAUGCUUAGUGGCGGACUGGUGAGUAACGCGUGAGGAACCUGCCUUCCAGAGGGGGACAACAGUUGGAAACGACUGCUAAUACCGCAUGAUAUAUUUGAGGGGCAUCCCUUGGAUAUCAAGGAUUAUAUCGCUGGAAGAUGGCCUCGCGUCUGAUUAGCUAGUAGGCGGGGUAACGGCCCACCUAGGCGACGAUCAGUAGCCGGACUGAGAGGUUGACCGGCCACAUUGGGACUGAGAUACGGCCCAGACUCCUACGGGAGGCAGCAGUGGGGAAUAUUGGGCAAUGGGCGCAAGCCUGACCCAGCAACGCCGCGUGAAGGAAGAAGGCUUUCGGGUUGUAAACUUCUUUUGUCAGGGAACAGUAGAAGAGGGUACCUGACGAAUAAGCCACGGCUAACUACGUGCCAGCAGCCGCGGUAAUACGUAGGUGGCAAGCGUUGUCCGGAUUUACUGGGUGUAAAGGGCGUGCAGCCGGGCUGGUAAGUCAGAUGUGAAAUCUGGAGGCUCAACCUCCAAACUGCAUUUGAAACUGCUGGUCUUGAGUACCGGAGAGGUUAUCG
This 663-nucleotide ribosomal RNA is filed under the name uncultured bacterium. RNAcentral's name for it is "bacterial SSU rRNA". It matches the Rfam family "Bacterial small subunit ribosomal RNA", at positions 1 to 663 of the family's 1533-position model. The record is from RNAcentral.